This 587-nucleotide ribosomal RNA is filed under the name uncultured bacterium. RNAcentral describes it as "bacterial SSU rRNA". It matches the Rfam family "Bacterial small subunit ribosomal RNA", at positions 916 to 1507 of the family's 1533-position model. The record is from RNAcentral.
GGGACCCGCACAAGCGGUGGAUGAUGUGGUUUAAUUCGAUGCAACGCGAAAAACCUUACCCACCUUUGACAUGGCAGGAAGUUUCCAGAGAUGGAUUCGUGCCCGAAAGGGAACCUGCACACAGGUGCUGCAUGGCUGUCGUCAGCUCGUGUCGUGAGAUGUUGGGUUAAGUCCCGCAACGAGCGCAACCCUUGCCAUUAGUUGCUACGAAAGGGCACUCUAAUGGGACUGCCGGUGACAAACCGGAGGAAGGUGGGGAUGACGUCAAGUCCUCAUGGCCCUUAUAGGUGGGGCUACACACGUCAUACAAUGGCUGGUACAGAGGGUUGCCAACCCGCGAGGGGGAGCUAAUCCCAUAAAGCCAGUCGUAGUCCGGAUCGCAGUCUGCAACUCGACUGCGUGAAGUCGGAAUCGCUAGUAAUCGCGGAUCAGAAUGUCGCGGUGAAUACGUUCCCGGGUCUUGUACACACCGCCCGUCACACCAUGGGAGCGGGUUCUGCCAGAAGUAGGUAGCCUAACCGUAAGGAGGGCGCUUACCACGGCAGGGUUCGUGACUGGGGUGAAGUCGUAACAAGGUAACCAAGGGC